UGCGUAGGUGGCAAGCGUUGUCCGGAUUUAUUGGGCUUAAAGGGUGCGUAGGCGGUUCUAUAAGUCAGUGGUGAAAUACGGCAGCUCAACCGUCGAGGUGCCAUUGAUACUGAAGAACUUGAGUACAGACGAGGUAGGCGGAAUUGACGGUGUAGCGGUGAAAUGCUUAGAGAUCGUCAAGAACACCGAUAGCGAAGGCAGCUUACUAGACUGUAACUGACGCUGAGGCACGAAAGUGUGGGGAUCAAACAGG
RNAcentral lists this ribosomal RNA (253 nucleotides) under uncultured bacterium. RNAcentral's name for it is "partial 16S ribosomal RNA". It matches the Rfam family "Bacterial small subunit ribosomal RNA", at positions 524 to 776 of the family's 1533-position model. The record is from RNAcentral.